CAUGGAUAUCCUGAAGGGUCAGCCUUUAUCUGUGAUGUGCCAAAGAAGAGAAAGAGAGGUGGUGGAAAUCCACCUUGACUAUUAUAACUCUGCCUCUGAUGUGGCCCAAUCAUGUCCACUCACAUUUUUUGGAUGUUGCAAAUGAUACGACUGACACUGAUAACCAUGAAGGAGAAGUAUUAUCCUUUUUCAGAGAAUCAGAGUGUGGCUCAGUUUCUGCAUAAUCUUUAGUUGAGGGCCCCACUCAAGGUGCUGGGCCAGAACUGGACAGCCCCUGGCUAUUAAGGAGUGGAUUCUCUUUUGGGCACCUGGCCAAACUUGACUGCGGUGGUAUCAAUUGUAGGUAUAUUAUUGUAUUCA
This 360-nucleotide long non-coding RNA is filed under the name Ursus maritimus (polar bear). RNAcentral describes it as "lncRNA (ENSUMAG00000022595.1)". The record is from RNAcentral. Lineage: Eukaryota; Metazoa; Chordata; Mammalia; Carnivora; Ursidae.